RNAcentral lists this ribosomal RNA (363 nucleotides) under uncultured bacterium. RNAcentral's name for it is "partial 16S ribosomal RNA". It matches the Rfam family "Bacterial small subunit ribosomal RNA", at positions 338 to 698 of the family's 1533-position model. The record is from RNAcentral.
CCUACGGGUGGCAGCAGUGAGGAAUAUUGGUCAAUGGGCGCGAGCCUGAACCAGCCAAGUAGCGUGAAGGAUGACGGCCCGAUGGGUUGUAAACUGCUUUUAUAGGGGAAUAAAGUGCAGUAUGUAUACUGCUUUGCAUGUACCUUAUGAAUAAGGAUCGGCUAACUCCGUGCCAGCAGCCGCGGUAAUACGGAGGAUCCGAGCGUUAUCCGGAUUUAUUGGGUUUAAAGGGUGCGUAGGCGGGUUGUUAAGUCAGUUGUGAAAGUUUGCGGCUCAACCGUAAAAUUGCCGUUGAUACUGGCAUCCUUGAGUACAGUAGAGUUAGGCGGAAUUCGUGGUGUAGCGGUGCAAUGCUUAGAUAUC